Molecule: ribosomal RNA, 512 nt
Filed under: uncultured marine eukaryote
Lineage: Eukaryota
Description: bacterial SSU rRNA
Rfam family: Eukaryotic small subunit ribosomal RNA
Source: RNAcentral
GUUGCAGUUAAAAAGCUCGUAGUUGGAUUUCUGCGGGGGCGGGGCGGCCGACCUCAACUCGAGGUUCGAGCUAGCACUUCCCCUGCAUCCUGCCGCGAACCGUGCUACCAUUAGUUUGGUGGCGCUGGGGAUCGGCUCGUUUACUUUGAGAAAAAUAGAGUGUUCAAAGCAGGCCACACGCCUUGAAUAAGUUAGCAUGGAAUAAUGAUAAAGGACUUCGGUUCUAUUUUGUUGGUGUUCGGGACUGAAGUAAUGAUUGAUAGGGACAGUUGGGGCGGUCAGUAUUCCAAAGCGAGAGGUGAAAUUCUUAGACCUUCGGAAGACUAACAGCUGCGAAAGCGUUCCGCAAGGAUGUUCCCUUUGAUCAAGAACGAAAGUUGGGGGAUCGAAGACGAUCAGAUACCGUCGUAGUCUCAACUAUAAACUAUACCAGCUAGGGAUCGGCCAACGUUUACUUAUAUCGACUUGGUCGGCACCUUAUGAGAAAUCAAAGCAUCUGGGUUCCGGGGGGA